AUAUAUUUCUUGUUCUUCGGAUGGGGUAUGAAUCAUUUAUGCCUUCAGUAUUAUAGAGAGCAGGCGGUCCCAGUCCUAAUAGGAUUACUGCUCCUUGUUUUUGACGGACCGGACCGGACAGGAAAGAGGUUUAGUCCCUCCAUGCGCACAGUGACAUCGGUCAGGUCAUGGCCAAGUGUGUUUGUGAAGCCCACAGUCGCGAGCAUUUCAUUUCCCACUUGAGAGAUUCUGCUCACCUGAAGAUGAAGGGAUGGGGUGCUCAGAUAGAUCGAUUCCAUGGCGGUGAGGGACAUCUCGGUCUCGUGGAUGAAAGCGUACACAAUGAAGCUCAGGAAAGACUGACCUAUGAUGAAGUUCUUGUACUCAUCUGCUGUCACA
This is a long non-coding RNA of Tachysurus fulvidraco (yellow catfish), 378 nucleotides long. RefSeq lists it as uncharacterized. NCBI's taxonomy places the organism in Eukaryota, Metazoa, Chordata, Actinopteri, Siluriformes, Bagridae. The transcript is spliced from 3 exons. The record is from RefSeq and is a predicted model, not a curated record.